ACACAACCUCUCCGGUCCUUCCUCCUCAGUGCAAGCACUGGCUGCCCCAGCCCGCUGUUUCCGGCUUCUCCGUCUAACCAGGUCCCUCCCUGGAGCUCUGACGACACGGAGAAGAGAAAGUGGGCUGGAGGAGGAAGAGGAAGACAGUGGGGGUACUACUCUUUAGACACUUGUGGAAGCCAACACAACCUGGAGUGGCUGCCUGCCGUUUCCCAAGGUGGAUUCGUUUGUUCCGGAAUUCAAAUAAAUGGAGUAAAACAGGAUGUGCUUUUUAUGUUUGGCUUCUUUUACUCACCGAUGAAUAUUUAGAGACUCAUCCAUGUUGUUGUGUGGAUCCAUAGUUUGUCCAUUUUUAUUAAAGAUUAAAGUAGUAUUCCAUU
Molecule: long non-coding RNA, 380 nt
Organism: Mirounga angustirostris (Northern elephant seal)
Lineage: Eukaryota; Metazoa; Chordata; Mammalia; Carnivora; Phocidae
Exons: 3
Source: RefSeq, a predicted model, not a curated record